This is an RNA transcript of Triticum aestivum (bread wheat), 3463 nucleotides long. RefSeq lists it as uncharacterized. NCBI's taxonomy places the organism in Eukaryota, Viridiplantae, Streptophyta, Magnoliopsida, Poales, Poaceae. The record is from RefSeq and is a predicted model, not a curated record. The transcript is spliced from 6 exons.
AGUCAAUCCCUCCACUCCCCUCGAGCCCCGCUCCCCUCCUCCCCUGCCCUCAUCUGCGCCGCCUCCUCCUCCCUUGCGUCCGCCUACUCCCCCCUGCAUCGCCGCCUCCUCCCCUUCUCCCCUGCUCACCACUAAGCCGCCUCCUCUGCCCCUUCACUUUUCUCUCCUGCGGCGGCGACGACCUGCAGGCAAAAGGCGACGCUGACGGUGCUCGAUUCGAUCUGCAGGAGAGAGAGAAGAUAAGAGGGAGAGAGAGAGAAGGAAGGAGAGGAGGGAGAACUCCGUUGCCGCCGCGUGCCGUGCUUCUGGAUCGACCGCUGCCUGACCAAGGGAUAAGAGUAUGAGCUGCUGAAGCAGGCGCGGCGCUGGUGCACUGCUGGCGAAGCGGUCGUCAACGGUGUCGUCGACGUCGUCCUUGGCAGAAGGUUGGUGCUUCCUCUCCUUCUCACUACAGCUACCUAUGCCUCUAUUAUUCUAGGAUUUUGCAAGUUAAAUACUCAUGUGUGCUGAACUGAAAAGUUCUCUAUGCAACAUCUAUUGCAGCUUCAUCGGCGUCAGCUUCAUCACCAAGAGGACGGACUCCGAAAGGCAACCUCCUCCCAAGGCGCCAGGACCGGUAACUCCCGGAACGUCCAUCCUUCCUUCCAUUAUUUUCUGGUGAUGCGCCGUUAGGGUUCGUGUUCAUUGCCAUUUUGGAUUCAUAUGUGAAGUCUAUUGUUGUUAAUUACAUUUAACUAAUUUCUUAAUUCAUGGUUGUUUUAGUUGCUGACCAUAUGAUUGGUAGCAUUGGACAGAAGAGGGCCAGCAACAAACAGAAGCAACCACUAUCCUCUCCAGAACAUGGAUCAGCUUUGGUGGCAUCCGAUGCUCGCAAGCCAUGGCGUUAGAGCAGAGGAAGCUGACAUGGUGUUGAAAUUCAGAUGGUCAUUGUGAUCGACCAGAUGCUGCGCCUCAUGUCACCCCGAGCCUCCAGGGCUUGUUAGCGGUGCAAGUGCUCGUUUCCCAUAUGCUUGCAAGUGCUCGUUUCCCAUAUGCUUGCCCACUCCUGUCUCGCAUCAAUCUUUCAUUUAUUUCCCUAAAAUUCCUCUAAUUUUGUUGUGUGCAUGUCUAAGAAAGAAAUAAGAGGAAUAAGCUAUGGUACGUCUUGGCGAAGUACAUUAUUUCCCUGGCUUGUGAAAUUAAUGCGCCCAAAUUCGCGUACAGUCUGGUUUCGGACUAACAAUGGCUCGUUGUGUUAUAUUGCAACUAAAAAAAGAGAUGGACAUAAUAAAGAAGCUUGGUGAACAAAUAUAUAUCUGAACCCUCUACACAAUAUAGAUGCUAUAAUUUUUGGUAAAUGGAAGUUAGAUCCAGAUUCUUAAAAAUAUUAUCCUUCAGUCUUAUACAUACAAGGUACUGUCCUGGCAUGGAUAUAGCCUGCAACCCGCAUCUCUAAACAACGCAAACCUAUCCACAAUCAUAAACUUGUGUAUUGAUCCUCUAUUCGGAUUUCUUAUUAGCUCAUUCUAGCCUGUAUGAACUUUUUGUGUUUGCGACAUUGGCCCAAUGCAUUUCGGUCGAUAUAUAUGUGAUGCCAUUGGUUGGCCUGGAUCGGAUAGCUAGGUUUGAUCGGUUCGGUUAAUAUAUGUUUAUGUUUUGGUUUAGGUUUCAGCACCUUUUGAUGCGUGUGCAUGCUGCCAUUGAGUAACUUGAUGUGUUUUCCUGGCUAUUCUAUUUGCAUUCACAAGUAUAGGAUAGUCAUUUUGAUUCAGUUAAGAUAUGUUCAGAUUUCUGUUUAGAUUUUGGCACCUUCUAAAUGUGCUACCAUGGGGUAGCCUGGGUCUAUUUUAAUGGCAAUAGGACCUGCAAGUGCAUGGCCCACUUCUAAUAGUCCUAGAAGCGACCGAAAUUGUUGCUAUUUUGACUUUGUCUGCUACAUGGACUGCUGUUCUGAUCUCUAUGUUUUCCCGUUGCUUCAUUCAGUAUGUCCACGUCAAACCAGAAAUGACAUGCAUUUGUAUGAUGAUAGCUUAGCACUCGAUGAUAAAUGUGAUGUUGUUUUAUGUUAAUGUGAAACCCGAUCUAUCGGUUGUUAGUUUGAAUCAGUACCCAAGCCAUCCUCCUCACUGCCCUCCUCUUAGAUAUUUAGGUAGUUCUUCCUUCUUGGUAACAAUGAGAAAACAAUUAGGUUGGUUACACAGUAUACUUCAUGAUUGCAGUAGGCACAAAAUGCUUGGCAGACUAAAAUAACUCAUUUCUAUUAUCAAGCUCUAAGUGUAUAUUGAGAUGCCUUUGUACAAUGAAAGAUCCAUGGGGUUGUAGGUUUGUUUGCUUGUAGAUUUUCGUGCAGAUAUUUGAAUUGUGCAAAUAUUUAAUUUGAGUUAUAAUUUGUUGUCUCUCGAUGUCGCUAAUUUUGUAUGAGCUGUAGGUGACCAUCAUCAUGUUCUUUCUAUGUUUUAUAGACAAUGUUUUCUUUCUAAUAUUUAGUUUUAUUCCAAGAUUAAUGAUGCUUUCACUCUAUUUUCAGAUUGACAAUUUCCGCCGACCCUUGUUGCACUCAAUGAUGGUUGAUGCCAACGUGGUCCAUUAGCAUCCUGGUUGUGGUUCUUAGUCCUGGUUUGAAGAGCUGCUCUGUUUGUUUGUGCUGGCAACAUCUAUGCGGUCAAGCUCAGGCCUCCAAAGAACAUCUCUGCAAACUCAAGAUUUUUUGUCAUUGUUCAAUUCCAGACCGAGGCACAUGCUUCGCUGGUGUUGAAUGCGGCCUAAGGGAAUGCACUUACGAGUGCAAGUACUUAUCUGAAGAUUCAAUAUGCAGAGCGUGACAUUGUUCCGAGACCAAGAACGAUGAUGUUUAAUCUACAGGGUGCAACACUGCAUUUUGGCUGCCUUAUGAGGGAAAGAGUUCUAUCUAUUCUGUGGAGCGGAAGGGAUGUUUCUGUUGAGUUUGGAUUUGCCAAGACGGAGGCCACCGCCACUCUCGACGCCCUCUGUUGCACGCUCUCGCCGGCGGCGUUCGCAAAGCCUUGUCGUGGCGCUGCAAGUGUUGCCCCCCUCCUCCCCAAGGGCAAGGUGAAGGAAGGUGCCUGUGUGGUUCUUCUGCAGCUCGCAGCGAGGAUUGCUGUGUCCAACCUGCACAAGAAUGCCAAGAAGUCCUUCUCGGAGAUGUAAACCACGGCGCAUGUUUCUGCCAUGAUUUCCUUCGGCUGGAUUUCAUGGAUUUAGGUGUUGAAAAAUUAUGGGCUCUCGAUGCAGGAUUAAGGACAUGUACCUGCACUACAACGAGAGAUCUGGGCUAUAUCUUUGUGGCUUCCAAACUUGAAAUGUUUGCUUGGAAGUUAGUUUAGUUUUCUGUUGUGGAUUCACAGCUUCUCACAUGUAAAUCCUUUUAAGUGUUGUGAUCCAUUGUCUAGAUUUUUUUCCUUGGUAAGGUUCAAACUUUAUACUUCGUGUACAUCGCGGGGACGGUUGAGAGGCUACUAUUGCU